RNAcentral lists this non-coding RNA (223 nucleotides) under Flavobacterium hercynium. The record is from RNAcentral. Lineage: Bacteria; Pseudomonadati; Bacteroidota; Flavobacteriia; Flavobacteriales; Flavobacteriaceae.
UACAUUUGCAGCCGCAAUGGUUUAGCUACAACUUUUCAAGGGUAGUUAACGAAGAGGGAAUCAGGUGAAAAUCCUGAGCAAGCCCGUUACUGUAAGUUCCAUGCAACAUUUUGACUGAUCUGCUUUUAUGCGAUCUUAUCUUUUGCCACUGCAUUUUAUAAAUGUGGGAAGGCGGUUCAAAAUGGGAAUAAGUCAGGAGACCUGCCACUGCCUAUUAAUUCGA